RNAcentral lists this ribosomal RNA (1391 nucleotides) under metagenome. RNAcentral describes it as "bacterial SSU rRNA". It matches the Rfam family "Bacterial small subunit ribosomal RNA". The record is from RNAcentral.
AGAGUUUGAUCCUGGCUCAGGAUGAACGCUGGCGGCGUGCUUAACACAUGCAAGUCGAACGAUCCUUCGGGAUAGUGGCGGACGGGUGAGUAACGCGUGGGAAUCUGCCCUCAGGAGGGGGAUAACGGCUGGAAACGGCCGCUAAUACCCCAUAUGCCGAGAGGUGAAACGAAUUUCGCCUGAGGAUGAGCCCGCGUCUGAUUAGCUAGUUGGUGGGGUAUAGGCCUACCAAGGCGACGAUCAGUAGCUGGUCUGAGAGGAUGAUCAGCCACACUGGGACUGAGACACGGCCCAGACUCCUACGGGAGGCAGCAGUGGGGAAUUUUCCGCAAUGGGCGAAAGCCUGACGGAGCAACGCCGCGUGAGGGAUGAAGGCCUCUGGGCUGUAAACCUCUUUUCUCAAGGAAGAAGAACUGACGGUACUUGAGGAAUAAGCCACAGCUAAUUCCGUGCCAGCAGCCGCGGUAAUACGGGAGUGGCAAGCGUUAUCCGGAAUUAUUGGGCGUAAAGCGUCCGCAGGCGGCCUUGUAAGUCUGUUGUUAAAGCGUGGAGCUCAACUCCAUUUAAGCAAUGGAAACUACAAGGCUGGAGUGUGGUAGGGGCAGAGGGAAUUCCCGGUGUAGCGGUGAAAUGCGUAGAUAUCGGGAAGAACACCAGUGGCGAAGGCGCUCUGCUGGGCCAUAACUGACGCUCAUGGACGAAAGCCAGGGGAGCGAAAGGGAUUAGAUACCCCUGUAGUCCUGGCCGUAAACGAUGAACACUAGGUGUCGGGGGAAUCGACCCCCUCGGUGUCGUAGCCAACGCGUUAAGUGUUCCGCCUGGGGAGUACGCACGCAAGUGUGAAACUCAAAGGAAUUGACGGGGGCCCGCACAAGCGGUGGAGUAUGUGGUUUAAUUCGAUGCAACGCGAAGAACCUUACCAGGGUUUGACAUCCUGCGAAUCCCUUGGAAACGAGGGAGUGCCUUCGGGAGCGCAGUGACAGGUGGUGCAUGGCUGUCGUCAGCUCGUGUCGUGAGAUGUUGGGUUAAGUCCCGCAACGAGCGCAACCCACGUCUUUAGUUGCCAGCAUUCAGUUGGGCACUCUAGAGAGACCGCCGGUGAUAAACCGGAGGAAGGUGUGGAUGACGUCAAGUCAUCAUGCCCCUUACAUCCUGGGCUACACACGUACUACAAUGCUACGGACAAAGGGCAGCAAGCUCGCGAGAGUUAGCAAAUCCCAUAAACCGUGGCUCAGUUCAGAUCGUAGGCUGCAACUCGCCUACGUGAAGGAGGAAUCGCUAGUAAUCGCAGGUCAGCAUACUGCGGUGAAUACGUUCCCGGGCCUUGUACACACCGCCCGUCACACCAUGGAAGUUGGCCAUGCCCGAAGUCGUUACUCCAACCCUUGUGG